CGCCAGACUCCUACGGGAGGCAGCAGUGGGGAAUAUUGCACAAUGGGGGGAACCCUGAUGCAGCGACGCCGCGUGGGUGAAGGAGCACCUCGGUGCGUAAAGCCCUAUCGGCAGGGAAGAAAAGCGAACAGGUUCGCCUGGACGGUACCUGACUAAGAAGCCCCGGCUAACUACGUGCCAGCAGCCGCGGUAAUACGUAGGGGGCAAGCGUUAUCCGGAUUCACUGGGUGUAAAGGGAGCGUAGACGGCGGCGCAAGUCUGGAGUGAAAGCCCGGGGCCCAACCCCGGGACUGCUCUUGGAACUGCGCGGCUGGAGUGCAGGAGGGGCAGGCGGAAUUCCUGGUGUAACGGUGAAAUGCGUAGAUAUCAGGAAGAACACCGGUGGCGUAGGCGGCUUACUGGACGGCAACUGACGCUGAGGCUCGAAAGCGUGGGGAGCAAACAGGAUUAGAUACCCCCGUAU
This 463-nucleotide ribosomal RNA is filed under the name uncultured bacterium. RNAcentral describes it as "partial 16S ribosomal RNA". It matches the Rfam family "Bacterial small subunit ribosomal RNA", at positions 329 to 793 of the family's 1533-position model. The record is from RNAcentral.